This 220-nucleotide ribosomal RNA is filed under the name Alexandrium margalefii. Its description in RNAcentral is "partial Bacterial large subunit ribosomal RNA". It matches the Rfam family "Bacterial large subunit ribosomal RNA", at positions 1772 to 1990 of the family's 2925-position model. The record is from RNAcentral. Lineage: Eukaryota; Dinophyceae; Gonyaulacales; Pyrocystaceae.
GCCAGUCGAAGAUACCAGGCCCCUGCGACUGUUUAUUAAAAACACAGCACUGUGCAAACACGAAAGUGGACGUAUACGGUGUGACGCCUCCCCGGUGCCGGAAGGUUAAUUGAUGGGGUUAGCAUUCGUGCGAAGCUCUUGAUCGAAGCCCCGGGAAACGGCGGGCGUAACAAUAACGUCCUAAGGUAGCGAAAUUCCUUGUCGGGGAAGUUCCGACCUG